Molecule: non-coding RNA, 25 nt
Filed under: Arabidopsis thaliana (thale cress)
Lineage: Eukaryota; Viridiplantae; Streptophyta; Magnoliopsida; Brassicales; Brassicaceae
Also listed under: 7 other names
Source: RNAcentral
AGGGGCGAAAGACUAAUCGAACCAU